Molecule: ribosomal RNA, 1343 nt
Filed under: uncultured bacterium
Lineage: Bacteria
Description: 16S ribosomal RNA
Rfam family: Bacterial small subunit ribosomal RNA
Source: RNAcentral
GACGAACGCUGGCGGCGUGCUCAACACAUGCAAGUCGAACGGAAAGGCCCUGCUUUUGUGGGGUGCUCGAGUGGCGAACGGGUGAGUAACACGUGAGUAACCUGCCCUUGACUUUGGGAUAACUUCAGGAAACUGGGGCUAAUACCGGAUAGGAGCUCCUGCUGCAUGGUGGGGGUUGGAAAGUUUCGGCGGUUGGGGAUGGACUCGCGGCUUAUCAGCUUGUUGGUGGGGUAGUGGCUUACCAAGGCUUUGACGGGUAGCCGGCCUGAGAGGGUGACCGGCCACAUUGGGACUGAGAUACGGCCCAGACUCCUACGGGAGGCAGCAGUGGGGAAUAUUGCACAAUGGGCGGAAGCCUGAUGCAGCAACGCCGCGUGCGGGAUGACGGCCUUCGGGUUGUAAACCGCUUUCGCCUGUGACGAAGCGUGAGUGACGGUAAUGGGUAAAGAAGCACCGGCUAACUACGUGCCAGCAGCCGCGGUGAUACGUAGGGUGCGAGCGUUGUCCGGAUUUAUUGGGCGUAAAGGGCUCGUAGGUGGUUGAUCGCGUCGGAAGUGUAAUCUUGGGGCUUAACCCUGAGCGUGCUUUCGAUACGGGUUGACUUGAGGAAGGUAGGGGAGAAUGGAAUUCCUGGUGGAGCGGUGGAAUGCGCAGAUAUCAGGAGGAACACCAGUGGCGAAGGCGGUUCUCUGGGCCUUUCCUGACGCUGAGGAGCGAAAGCGUGGGGAGCGAACAGGCUUAGAUACCCUGGUAGUCCACGCUGUAAACGGUGGGUACUAGGCGUGGGGUCCAUUCCACGGGUUCCGUGCCGUAGCUAACGCUUUAAGUACCCCGCCUGGGGAGUACGGCCGCAAGGCUAAAACUCAAAGGAAUUGACGGGGCCCCGCACAAGCGGCGGAGCAUGCGGAUUAAUUCGAUGCAACGCGUAGAACCUUACCUGGGUUUGACAUGGAUCGGGAGUGCUCAGAGAUGGGUGUGCCUCUUUUGGGGUCGGUUCACAGGUGGUGCAUGGCUGUCGUCAGCUCGUGUCGUGAGAUGUUGGGUUAAGUCCCGCAACGAGCGCAACCCUUGUUCACUGUUGCCAGCACGUUAUGGUGGGGACUCAGUGGAGACCGCCGGGGUCAACUCGGAGGAAGGUGGGGAUGACGUCAAGUCAUCAUGCCCCUUAUGUCCAGGGCUUCACGCAUGCUACAAUGGCUGGUACAGAGAGUGGCGAGCCUGUGAGGGUGAGCGAAUCUCGGAAAGCCGGUCUCAGUUCGGAUUGGGGUCUGCAACUCGACCUCAUGAAGUCGGAGUCGCUAGUAAUCGCAGAUCAGCAACGCUGCGGUGAAUACGUUCCCGGG